AUUGAACGCUGGCGGCAGGCCUAACACAUGCAAGUCGAACGGUAACAGGAAGAAGCUUGCUUCUUUGCUGACGAGUGGCGGACGGGUGAGUAAUGUCUGGGAAACUGCCUGAUGGAGGGGGAUAACUACUGGAAACGGUAGCUAAUACCGCAUAACGUCGCAAGACCAAAGAGGGGGACCUUCGGGCCUCUUGCCAUCGGAUGUGCCCAGAUGGGAUUAGCUAGUAGGUGGGGUAACGGCUCACCUAGGCGACGAUCCCUAGCUGGUCUGAGAGGAUGACCAGCCACACUGGAACUGAGUCACGGUCCAGACUCCUACGGGAGGCAGCAGUGGGGAAUAUUGCACAAUGGGCGCAAGCCUGAUGCAGCCAUGCCGCGUGUAUGAAGAAGGCCUUCGGGUUGUAAAGUACUUUCAGCGGGGAGGAAGGGAGUAAAGUUAAUACCUUUGCUCAUUGACGUUACCCGCAGAAGAAGCACCGGCUAACUCCGUG
This 490-nucleotide ribosomal RNA is filed under the name uncultured bacterium. RNAcentral's name for it is "partial 16S ribosomal RNA". It matches the Rfam family "Bacterial small subunit ribosomal RNA", at positions 30 to 507 of the family's 1533-position model. The record is from RNAcentral.